CUUGAAAUACAUGUUCAAGAAAUCUUGUUCUGCAAAUGGAGUAGGAGGAGUGACUUGAAGUGUGUUCAAAAGAUCAUGGUAAGUUUCAAUGCUUGGUUCAAACACAAACAUGCCAGCAUUGAAGUAAAGUGAAGGAGGUUGACCCAUUUCCUUUGGCCAUUGUACCUUAUUUGGACACUGUUGACAGUAACCAAUUUUGUAUUGUGGCGUGUGACUCCAUGUUUUCUCG
This 229-nucleotide long non-coding RNA is filed under the name Cicer arietinum (chickpea). RNAcentral describes it as "long non-coding RNA (CARI_LNC000871)". The record is from RNAcentral. Lineage: Eukaryota; Viridiplantae; Streptophyta; Magnoliopsida; Fabales; Fabaceae.